Anopheles arabiensis is the source of this 987-nucleotide long non-coding RNA. RefSeq lists it as uncharacterized. The record is from RefSeq and is a predicted model, not a curated record. The transcript has 3 exons. NCBI's taxonomy places the organism in Eukaryota, Metazoa, Arthropoda, Insecta, Diptera, Culicidae.
UGAUGGUUUGGUACCACAUUUGGGCAGCAGUUUUUCCGUUCGCCCAACGUUUUCCACACGAGAUGCCGGAAAAGGUUAGCCGUUGCCGAAGUAUUCGCUCGGGCAGCUAUGCGUUUAAUGUGAGAACCAGGAAAUCAGUUUCUACUACUACUGCUGCGCGAUUCCAGUAGGCUGCUGCUGCUGAUGCAUUCCCCUGUUAUCAGUAUCUCUAUGUACAGUCGUAUACGGAGGAGGCCUUGGGUUCCAGUUACAGCAAAAGUCUGCUGGUUAUCGUCGAGGAAUGUGUGAGUGUUUGUGUUUUACACCCCAUUGCUCCCCAGGCCGGCGGCCCUUUCCGUUGCUUUCCGGGAAAGGCUUCUUUUCGUUCGACAGUGCCUUAUUUUAUGAAUCACGCCCGAUAGCAUCCGCCUUUUGCCACCGAUAAACGCAUGAACAGUGGCGUGCUCUUUACCUCCUAUUCCUCGUCAUUAGAUUUAGAGCGCGAUUGGAUUUUUCACACAACACAACCACCACAAAGAAGGUAUACACGCCCCAGUGCCUUAUCUUGAGGUGGGGGGAGGGUGAGCGCAAUAGGUCUAACACGCACGCACACACUCGACGCACCAGAUGCAGAAAUAGUGCCUCAUUUUUCACCUUUUCCAACUACAAAUCGACCGUACAACACCGCCCACACGCCAAGCUGCAAUUUAAUGAUCCACACGUACCUGUUUCGACGGGGUUGAGGAUGUUUUUCACACGGAAAACUGCACGGAAAAUGUUCGGGUGUAUCGAGCGAAGAGGAGCCACGGCGAAGACGGCAAUCGCAAAACGCACUCUGCACAGGAAACGAUACAGCACUUAACAGAUUUUGAGGGCGGCACAGAUGCGUUUAUUGCCGCGAAACGUUACGAUUGCCACUUACACUACACCGUGUUGAAUUAAAACAUUUGUAACUAAUCUAAAUAAAAAGUUUAAAGGGGGAAAAAAUACUGCCUCCGUCUUCCUCAA